This 73-nucleotide transfer RNA is filed under the name Acidobacteriota bacterium. RNAcentral's name for it is "Acidobacteria bacterium (bioreactor metagenome) tRNA-Ala". It matches the Rfam family "tRNA". From Rfam's summary of the family: Transfer RNA (tRNA) molecules are approximately 80 nucleotides in length. Their secondary structure includes four short double-helical elements and three loops (D, anti-codon, and T loops). The record is from RNAcentral. Lineage: Bacteria; Pseudomonadati; Acidobacteriota.
GGGAACGUAGCCAAAUUGGGAAGGCACUGGUCUUGCAAACCAGAAAUUACGGGUUCGAGUCCCGUCGUUUCCA